This 449-nucleotide ribosomal RNA is filed under the name uncultured bacterium. Its description in RNAcentral is "bacterial SSU rRNA". It matches the Rfam family "Bacterial small subunit ribosomal RNA", at positions 29 to 525 of the family's 1533-position model. The record is from RNAcentral.
AACGAACGCUGGCGGCAGGCUUAACACAUGCAAGUCGAACGCCCCGCAAGGGGAGUGGCAGACGGGUGAGUAACGCGUGGGAAUCUACCCAGUUCUACGGAACAACACAGGGAAACUUGUGCUAAUACCGUAUACGCCCCAAGGGGGAAAGAUUUAUCGGAAUUGGAUGAGCCCGCGUUGGAUUAGCUAGUUGGUGAGGUAACGGCUCACCAAGGCGACGAUCCAUAGCUGGUCUGAGAGGAUGAUCAGCCACACUGGGACUGAGACACGGCCCAGACUCCUACGGGAGGCAGCAGUGGGGAAUAUUGGACAAUGGGCGAAAGCCUGAUCCAGCCAUGCCGCGUGAGUGAUGAAGGCCUUAGGGUUGUAAAGCUCUUUCAGUGGGGAAGAUAAUGACGGUACCCACAGAAGAAGCCCCGGCUAACUUCGUGCCAGCAGCCGCGGUAAUG